Molecule: non-coding RNA, 82 nt
Organism: Danio rerio (zebrafish)
Lineage: Eukaryota; Metazoa; Chordata; Actinopteri; Cypriniformes; Danionidae
Source: Rfam
GUAGUCGUGGCUGAGAGGUUAAGGCGAUGGACUUGAAAUCCGUUGGGGUAUCUCCGCGCUGGUUCGAACCCUGCCGAUUAUG